This 752-nucleotide long non-coding RNA is filed under the name Ananas comosus (pineapple). RNAcentral describes it as "long non-coding RNA (ACOM_LNC016498)". The record is from RNAcentral. Lineage: Eukaryota; Viridiplantae; Streptophyta; Magnoliopsida; Poales; Bromeliaceae.
ACAUAUAACAUCCGUAUAAAUCACGUAUUCGAAUAAUUGUCGAAUCCGUUUUUUAACCGUAUUUUUCAAUGAAUUUAAAAAUUAGAAGACGAAUUUUAUCCGAAUUAUAUCCGUACCGAAUUUUUGCCGAAUCCGAAUUAACUAACUAUGGCAAGGACUAAAAUUUUGGCAGUGUAACUAAACUCUCUGUUGACGAUAUUUUUGUGUUAUUUUAAUUACAAAAGCACUCGUCAAGUUUCGGACGAAAACGAGUUAGAAUAGAGAUUUUACGCGAUCUUUAGUUUUCACUUAAGUGAUAGUAAUCUGGUUUUCGGGAGAGGCCACGGUGUAAAGUUGGCUUCCGGCGCGCAUUGGACUCCGUUCAUAGCGAUCCAAUAGCUCGUUUUCAAUGGUUUGACUAUUCUGAAACCAUUGGCGCUGACGGAUUUUAGGUUAGAUGCACGAUUUUCGAGAAAAAGCGAGUUUAUUGGUUUUACACAUAUAUUUAGGUGCGGUUUUGGAAAGUUGGAGAGAGGAUGGGUUUUGUCACGAAUCCGUGACCAAACAAGGUGAAACAAAAUCGUGAGUUUGUUGUCUCUGUCGUACUGAUCGCAUUGGUGUGAUCCGUUCGCAAAUCUGACGGACGGAUUUUCUGAUAUCGCGCGUUGAUCGAUGAAGGGUCUUAGAUGGCAAAAUGGUAAUUUUGCGAAAAGCGUGACAUUUUAUGUACUGUUUUACGUGAAAUCGCAUGUGGGGGUGUAUUCGUGCGUUUU